GGGGAAUUUUCCGCAAUGGGCGAAAGCCUGACGGAGCAAUACCGCGUGAGGGAGGAAUGCCUUUGGGUUGUAAACCUCUUUUCUCAGGGAAGAAGAUCUGACGGUACCUGAGGAAUAAGUAUCGGCUAACUCCGUGCCAGCAGCCGCGGUAAUACGGGGGAUGCAAGCGUUAUCCGGAAUCAUUGGGCGUAAAGCGUCCGCAGGUGGUUUCCAAAGUCUGCUGUUAAAGACUGGAGCUCAACUCCGGAACGGCGGUGGAAACUUGGAAACUAGAGUUCGGUAGGGGUAGCAGGAAUUCCCAGUGUAGCGGUGAAAUGCGUAGAUAUUGGGAAGAACAUCGGUGGCGAAGGCGUGCUACUGGACCGUAACUGACACUCAGGGACGAAAGCUAGGGGAGCGAAAGGGAUUAGAUACCCCUGUAGUCCUAGCUGUAAACGAUGGAAACUAGGUGUGGCUUG
This 458-nucleotide ribosomal RNA is filed under the name uncultured marine microorganism. RNAcentral describes it as "bacterial SSU rRNA". It matches the Rfam family "Bacterial small subunit ribosomal RNA", at positions 356 to 829 of the family's 1533-position model. The record is from RNAcentral.